RNAcentral lists this transfer RNA (113 nucleotides) under Hypomontagnella monticulosa. RNAcentral describes it as "tRNA-Thr". It matches the Rfam family "tRNA". From Rfam's summary of the family: Transfer RNA (tRNA) molecules are approximately 80 nucleotides in length. Their secondary structure includes four short double-helical elements and three loops (D, anti-codon, and T loops). Lineage: Eukaryota; Fungi; Ascomycota; Sordariomycetes; Xylariales; Hypoxylaceae. The record is from RNAcentral.
GCCCGACUAGCUCACCGGUAGAGCGCCUCACUAGUAUUUUCAGAUUGGCAAGCCUCAUUGGUUAUACAUUCUAAGUAAUGAGGAGGCAACAGGUUCGACUCCUGUGUUGGGCA